GACAGAGGUGCCAAGCGUUAGGCGGAAUCACUGGGCUUAAAGCGUGUGUAGGCGGAUGUCUAAGUACCUUGUGAAAUCCCACGGCUCAACCGUGGAACUGCUUGGUAUACUGGAUGUCUUGAGCCAUCUAGGGGCUACCGGAACAAAUGGUGGAGCGGUGAAAUGCGUAGAUAUCAUUUGGAACGCCAAUGGUGAAAACAGGUAGCUGGGAGUGUGCUGACGCUGAGACACGAAAGCCAGGGGAGCGAACGGG
Molecule: ribosomal RNA, 253 nt
Filed under: uncultured bacterium
Lineage: Bacteria
Description: partial 16S ribosomal RNA
Rfam family: Bacterial small subunit ribosomal RNA
Source: RNAcentral